UACGGAGGAUGCGAGCGUUAUCCGGAUUUAUUGGGUUUAAAGGGUGCGUAGGCGGGAUGCCAAGUCAGCGGUCAGAUACGGGGGCUCAACCUGCGUCCGCCGUUGAAACUGGCGUUCUUGAGUGGGCGAGAAGUACGCGGAAUGCGUGGUGUAGCGGUGAAAUGCAUAGAUAUCACGCAGAACCCCGAUUGCGAAGGCAGCGUACCGGCGCCCAACUGACGCUGAAGCACGAAAGCGUGGGUAUCGAACAGG
RNAcentral lists this ribosomal RNA (252 nucleotides) under uncultured bacterium. Its description in RNAcentral is "partial 16S ribosomal RNA". It matches the Rfam family "Bacterial small subunit ribosomal RNA", at positions 524 to 776 of the family's 1533-position model. The record is from RNAcentral.